GCCGUCCUUGGGCAGGACCGUCAGCUCGACCGGCUUGCCCGCGGUGCCCACCAGCAGCGGGGCGGGCCCGCGGUCCGGGUCGACGGGACGGCC
This 93-nucleotide transfer RNA is filed under the name Actinokineospora sp. UTMC 2448. RNAcentral describes it as "tRNA-Ala". The record is from RNAcentral. Lineage: Bacteria; Bacillati; Actinomycetota; Actinomycetes; Pseudonocardiales; Pseudonocardiaceae.